GCUGAUAAUGGAUGCCUUGGGUAUUCAUGCCGAGGAAGGACGUAUAUGGCGGCGAUACUCGUCGGGGAGGAGCCAUACUCCUGUGAUCCGGCGGUUUCCGAAUCGAGUAAUCGGUCCGAUUUUAUCGGACAGUCCAUCGUAAAGGCGAUCGAAAGAUUGACAUAGCGGUGGGCAGGGCACCAUCUGAACUGAAACAUCUCAGUAAGGUGAGGAAAAAAAAUCAAACGAGAUUCCGUCAGUAGCGGCGAGCGAAAGCGGAACAGCCUAAACCCCGCCGAAAGGCGGGGGGUUGUGGGGCAAGAGACGUGGGAGUGUCGCGGAUAGGAGAAUGCCUUGGAAUAGGCAGUCAAAGAGAGUGAAAACCUCGUAUCCGAAAUCCAAAACACCUCUAUCUUGGUCCCAAGUACCAGGGGACACGAAGGUCCUGUGGGAAUCUGGGGGAACCAUCCUCCAAGGCUCAAUACAUGAAUACACCGAUAGUGAACUAGUACCGUGAGGG
This 499-nucleotide ribosomal RNA is filed under the name Candidatus Gottesmanbacteria bacterium. Its description in RNAcentral is "partial 23S ribosomal RNA". It matches the Rfam family "Bacterial large subunit ribosomal RNA", at positions 17 to 509 of the family's 2925-position model. The record is from RNAcentral. Lineage: Bacteria; Candidatus Gottesmaniibacteriota.